GAUGAACGCUGGCGGCGUGCCUAAUACAUGCAAGUCGAGCGAACAGACGAGGAGCUUGCUCCUCUGACGUUAGCGGCGGACGGGUGAGUAACACGUGGAUAACCUACCUAUAAGACUGGGGUAACUUCGGGAAACCGGAGCUAAUACCGGAUAAUAUAUUGAACCGCAUGGUUCAAUAGUGAACGACGGUUUUGCUGUCACUUAUAGAUGGAUCCGCGCCGCAUUAGCUAGUUGGUAAGGUAACGGCUUACCAAGGCAACGAUGCGUAGCCGACCUGAGAGGGUGAUCGGCCACACUGGAACUGAGACACGGUCCAGACUCCUACGGGAGGCAGCAGUAGGGAAUCUUCCGCAAUGGGCGAAAGCCUGACGGAGCAACGCCGCGUGAGUGAUGAAGGUCUUCGGAUCGUAAAACUCUGUUAUUAGGGAAGAACAAAUGUGUAAGUAACUAUGCACGUCUUGACGGUACCUAAUCAGAAAGCCACGGCUAACUACGUG
This 497-nucleotide ribosomal RNA is filed under the name uncultured bacterium. RNAcentral's name for it is "partial 16S ribosomal RNA". It matches the Rfam family "Bacterial small subunit ribosomal RNA", at positions 28 to 507 of the family's 1533-position model. The record is from RNAcentral.